CCUACGGGUGGCUGCAGUGGGGGAUAUUGCACAAUGGGCGAAAGCCUGAUGCAGCGAAGCCGCGUGAGGGAAGACGGUCUUCGGAUUGUAAACCUCUGUCUUUGGGGAAGAAAAUGACGGUACGCAAAGAGGAAGCGCCGGCUAACUACGGGCCAGCAGCCGCGGUAAUACGUCGGGAGCAAGCGUUGUCCGGAAUUACUGGGUGCAAAGGGAGCGUAGGCGGGAUGUAAAGUAGACUGUGAAAUCCCUCGGCUCAACCGGUGGCUGCGUUGUAAACGGCCGUUCUUGAGUGGAGUAGAGGCAGGCGGAAUUCCUAGUGUAGCGGUGAAAUGCGUAGAUAUUAGGCGGAACACCAGUGGCGAAGGCGGCCUGCUGGGCUUUAACUGACGCUGAGGCUCGAAAGCGUGGGGAGCAAACAGGAUUAGAUACCCUGGUAGUC
This 439-nucleotide ribosomal RNA is filed under the name uncultured bacterium. Its description in RNAcentral is "partial 16S ribosomal RNA". It matches the Rfam family "Bacterial small subunit ribosomal RNA", at positions 338 to 795 of the family's 1533-position model. The record is from RNAcentral.